AACGAACGCUGGCGGCAUGCCUAACACAUGCAAGUCGAACGAGAACUUCGGGUCUAGUGGCGCACGGGUGCGUACCGCGUGGGAACCUGCACUUAGGUUCGGAAUAACUCCCCGAAAGGGGUGCUAAUACCGGAUAAUGUCUUCGGACCAAAGAUUUAUCGCCUUUGGAUGGGCCCGCGUUGGUUUAGCUAGUUGGUAGGGUAAAAGCCUACCAAGGCGACGAUCCAUAGCUGGUCUGAGAGGAUGAUCAGCCACACUGGGACUGAGACACGGCCCAGACUCCUACGGGAGGCAGCAGUGGGGAAUAUUGGACAAUGGGCGAAAGCCUGAUCCAGCAAUGCCGCGUGAGUGAUGAAGGCCUUAGGGUUGUAAAGCUCUUUUACCCGGGAUGAUAAUGACAGUACCGGGAGAAUAAGCGCCGGCUAACUCCGUG
RNAcentral lists this ribosomal RNA (433 nucleotides) under uncultured bacterium. Its description in RNAcentral is "partial 16S ribosomal RNA". It matches the Rfam family "Bacterial small subunit ribosomal RNA", at positions 29 to 507 of the family's 1533-position model. The record is from RNAcentral.